This 53-nucleotide transfer RNA is filed under the name Chlamydotis macqueenii (Macqueen's bustard). Its description in RNAcentral is "Chlamydotis undulata macqueenii tRNA". It matches the Rfam family "tRNA", at positions 20 to 71 of the family's 71-position model. Rfam says of the family: Transfer RNA (tRNA) molecules are approximately 80 nucleotides in length. Their secondary structure includes four short double-helical elements and three loops (D, anti-codon, and T loops). Lineage: Eukaryota; Metazoa; Chordata; Aves; Otidiformes; Otididae. The record is from Rfam by way of RNAcentral.
AGAGCAUCAGACUUUUAAUCUGAGGGUGCAGGGUUCAAGCCCCUGGUCAGCCU